CCAACUUGGACACCCUGGGAGGUCACUCUCCCCAGGCUCUGUCCAGGUGGCACAGGGGAGCACAGGGCUCUGCCCAAUGACGUACAGUCACUUCCCACGCCGUUGGAGAGGAAGCGGGCCUUGAGUCUGCACCUGCAUAUUCCUACAGCUUCCCAGAGUCCUAUGGACAAUGACUGGGGAGGCAAACCAUGCAGGAAACAGUC
This is a small nucleolar RNA of Oryctolagus cuniculus (rabbit), 203 nucleotides long. Its record names the gene SNORA73. It matches the Rfam family "Small nucleolar RNA SNORA73 family". Rfam says of the family: U17 (SNORA73A and SNORA73B) also known as E1 belongs to the H/ACA class of small nucleolar RNAs (snoRNAs). Vertebrate U17 is intron-encoded and ranges in length from 200-230 nucleotides, longer than most snoRNAs. Lineage: Eukaryota; Metazoa; Chordata; Mammalia; Lagomorpha; Leporidae. The record is from Ensembl.